Long non-coding RNA from Rhipicephalus sanguineus (brown dog tick), 1371 nucleotides. RefSeq lists it as uncharacterized. The record is from RefSeq and is a predicted model, not a curated record. Lineage: Eukaryota; Metazoa; Arthropoda; Arachnida; Ixodida; Ixodidae. The transcript is spliced from 4 exons.
CUGAAAAGGACGAAUUGCAGUAUCCACAGGAAAAGGGACGCUCUCCUGUGUGGGUACGCAUAUGUUUUUUGAGGGUGACAUUAUGAGAAAAAGAUGCAUUGCAGAGGUCACAGAUGUAGGGACGCUCUCCUGUGUGGGUGCGUAUGUGGUCAGUGAGAUUCUGUUUACGCGGAAAAGAUGCAUUGCAGUGGGCACAGGCAAAAGGACGCUCUCCUGUGUGGGUGCGCAAGUGCUCCUUUAGGUGCCCGCUCUUUGAAAAGGAUGCAUGGCAGUGUACACAGGAAAAGGGUCUCUCUCCGGUGUGGGUGCGCAAGUGAUCAACGAGAUUAGCGUUUUGUCUAAAUGCAGCCGGACACAGGUGGCACGGGAAUGGGCGCUCGCCCGUGUGCGUGCGAAGGUGUCUUUCCAUGUUCCCCUUUCUGUUGUUCACAUAGGUGCACUGCCGGCAGGAAUGCACUUCGCCUUCCACGGACACGAGUGAACUGUAAUGCUCCUUGGAAGCCAAGGACAAGGAACCUGCAAAGCCAAGGGCAGAACAGGAAGGCACUGCAAUUCAUGUAUCAUACACAUCAUGGCAAUGGAAUGCAGAAAAGCCAAUCAAGUGCAUCAAGAUAAGCAAAGACCACACCGUUCUUUGCCAUUGUGAGGAAGAUACACUUGGGCAAGCUGUGGUAUCUGUGCUGCCAAGAGCAUCUUCGGGAGGACAGCGCACCUACAGAUGCACCCAGGCGAAUAGUCGUACCACUCUCCAUGCGCCUUUCCACAGCCAAGCAACCGUUGCCCAUGCCCACACUUAUCAUUAUUGACAGACAUUUGUCUGCCUCAGCGGCAGCUAUUAAAUUAAAUCACAAAAUGAGCUAUGCAAAAUUUAGUAAUCGUCACAGAUGUAUUCCAGUUUGACAACUGAUCGUUCGCACUACAGAAAAUUAGUAACCAUAUACAUUGGCUUCCUUCAAUAUAAAACUGACUACCAUUAGUGAAUUACUGCCUGAAGAUAUUAACUGAGUGGUUAAUAAAUCAUAAUUGCAUUGUUUCCGAGUUUAAUAUUCCAUCAAAAAGGAUAACCUAGCACUUGUCUUUCAGUGCAUCCUCUACUUCACUUCACGUGCUCUUUAUCUUCACUUAACGAUUGUUUUUAGAAAUUUGGGCCGAUCACAUUUCCUCGUUUCAAUGUGAAAGCACCAGCAAUGACACCAGAAACUCGCGUCACGCAUCCCGAAGAGAGAAUGCCGGUGUUGUACAAAAUUGUUGCGCACAAGAUUGUAUUUACUCAAUGGCCGAAUUCGCUCGUGUUCGUUUUCCUUGAAACACAGCUCUUUAUUAUUGCUGAGGCUGAAGGAAGAUACUUCCGAUAAGUGCAGUAAAAAAUGG